AGUGAACGCUGGCGGUAGGCCUAACACAUGCAAGUCGAACGGCAGCACAGUAAGAGCUUGCUCUUACGGGUGGCGAGUGGCGGACGGGUGAGGAAUACAGCGGAAUCUACUUUUUCGUGGGGGAUAACGUAGGGAAACUUACGCUUAUACCGCAUACGACCUACGGGUGAAAGCAGGGGAUCUUCGGACCUUGCGCGAUUGAAUGAGCCGAUGUCGGAUUAGCUAGUUGGCGGGGUAAAGGCCCACCAAGGCGACGAUCCGUAGCUGGUCUGAGAGGAUGAUCAGCCACACUGGAACUGAGACACGGUCCAGACUCCUACGGGAGGCAGCAGUGGGGAAUAUUGGACAAGGGGCGCAAGCCUGAUCCAGCCAUACCGCGUGGGUGAAGAAGGCCUUCGGGUUGUAAAGCCCUUUUGUUGGGAAAGAAAAGCAGCAGGUUAAUACCCCGCUGUUCUGACGGUACCCAAAGAAUAAGCACCGGCUAACUUCGUG
Molecule: ribosomal RNA, 492 nt
Filed under: uncultured bacterium
Lineage: Bacteria
Description: partial 16S ribosomal RNA
Rfam family: Bacterial small subunit ribosomal RNA
Source: RNAcentral